GACGAACGCUGGCGGCGUGCUUAACACAUGCAAGUCGAACGGAAAGGCCCUGCUUGCAGGGUACUCGAGUGUCGAACGGGUGAGUAACACGUGUGUGAUCUGCCCUGCACUUCGGGAUAAGCUUGUUAAACUGGGUCUAAUACCGGAUAGGAUCCAUCUUUAUUGUUGUGGUUUGAAAGUUUUUUCGGUGUAGGAUGAGCUCGCGGCCUAUCAGCUUGUUUGUGGGGUAAUGGCCUACCAAGGCGGAGACGGGUAGCCGUCCUUAGAGGGUGUACGGCGACAAUGGGACUGCGAUACGGAGCAGACGCGUACGGGAGGCAGAAGUGGGGAAUCUUGCAGAAUGGGGGCGAGCCAGAUGCAGAGACGCCGCGUGCGGGAUGAAGGGCUUCGGGUUGAAAACGACUUUCGCUAGGGACGAAGCUUUUUGUGACGGUACCUAGAUAAGAAGCAACGGCUAACUACGUG
RNAcentral lists this ribosomal RNA (465 nucleotides) under uncultured bacterium. RNAcentral describes it as "partial 16S ribosomal RNA". It matches the Rfam family "Bacterial small subunit ribosomal RNA", at positions 28 to 507 of the family's 1533-position model. The record is from RNAcentral.